UACAGGGGGGGCAAGCGUUGUUCGGAAUUACUGGGCGUAAAGCGUGCGCAGGCGGUUCGUUAAGUUCGUUGUGAAAGCCCCGGGCUCAACCUGGGAACUGCAAUGGAAACUGGCGGGCUUGAGUGUGGCAGAGGGGGGUGGAAUUCCGCGUGUAGCAGUGAAAUGCGUAGAGAUGCGGAGGAACACCGAUGGCGAAGGCAGCCCCCUGGGCCAACACUGACGCUCAGGCACGAAAGCGUGGGGAGCAAACAGG
This 253-nucleotide ribosomal RNA is filed under the name uncultured bacterium. RNAcentral's name for it is "partial 16S ribosomal RNA". It matches the Rfam family "Bacterial small subunit ribosomal RNA", at positions 524 to 776 of the family's 1533-position model. The record is from RNAcentral.